Molecule: non-coding RNA, 599 nt
Organism: Salvelinus sp. IW2-2015
Lineage: Eukaryota; Metazoa; Chordata; Actinopteri; Salmoniformes; Salmonidae
Source: RefSeq, a predicted model, not a curated record
CCAUCAUUUCUUGACAAACUUUCUAUUUUAUAAACAUGUCCUCUCCUCAGACUCUGAGAGUUUUAACAUCUAGUGGUGGGCUUCCAAUAUGGACGAUGCUUCUCUAUCUUUACAUAAGCUAUGUUUUUGCAGAGAACGUCACCAGAGUAGUUGGACGCAUAGGACACUCCAUAUUCCUUCACCCUGAAAUUGAGUUACAUGCCAAGGUCUCUGACGCGAUAUGGAAACAUGCAAACAUGUAUAUAGCUAAAGGGGGCAUUUUAAUGAAUUUAAAGGAUAGGUGUGAGUUAUUUCCAAACGGUUCACUGAAGUUUUUUGAAGGACUGAAAACAGACAGUGGAAAGUAUUCAGUGGAACUAUUUAAUGACGCUGGAGAACAUAUAUCCAAACGGUACAUUGAGCUCAGCAUUCUAGGCAGAGGUACAGUAACUCCUCGUGCAUUUUCUGCAUAKUAUUGGUCCAGAACCACUCUCUGUAAAGUAGACCUUCCCAUUACUUGUCCGGGUAGCACAGUAUGUAUCGAGUCAAGCUUUGAGGGCACGAAUAUCAAUCAGGGGAUAGGGUACAGAACAAAAUACCUUGUAAUAUUCAUGAAUGAG